RNAcentral lists this ribosomal RNA (1299 nucleotides) under metagenome. RNAcentral describes it as "bacterial LSU rRNA". It matches the Rfam family "Bacterial large subunit ribosomal RNA", at positions 1636 to 2925 of the family's 2925-position model. The record is from RNAcentral.
ACACGACCGUACCGCAAACCGACACUGGUGCGCGAGAUGAGUAUUCUAAGGCGCUUGAGAGAACUCAGGAGAAGGAACUCGGCAAAUUGACACCGUAACUUCGGAAGAAGGUGUGCCUUUAGUAGGUGAAGUCCCUCGCGGAUGGAGCCCAAUGAGGUUGCAAAAAAUCGGUGGCUGCGACUGUUUAUUAAAAACACAGCACUCUGCAAACACGAAAGUGGACGUAUAGGGUGUGACGCCUGCCCGGUGCUGGAAGAUUAAAUGAUGGGGUGCAAGCUCUUGAUUGAAGUCCCAGUAAACGGCGGCCGUAACAAUAACGGUCCUAAGGUAGCGAAAUUCCUUGUCGGGUAAGUUCCGACCUGCACGAAUGGCGUAACGAUGGCCACACUGUCUCCUCCUGAGACUCAGCGAAGUUGAAAUGUUUGUGAUGAUGCAAUCUCCCCGCGGAAAGACGGAAAGACCCCAUGAACCUUUACUGUAGCUUUGUAUUGGACUUUGAACAGAUCUGUGUAGGAUAGGUGGGAGGCUUUGAAGCAGGGUCGCUAGAUCUUGUGGAGCCAACGUUGAAAUACCACCCUGGUGUGUUUGAGGUUCUAACCUAGGCCCGUAAUCCGGGUUGGGGACAGUGCAUGGUAGGCAGUUUGACUGGGGCGGUCUCCUCCCAAAGUGUAACGGAGGAGUUCGAAGGUACGCUAGUUACGGUCGGACAUCGUGACGAUAGUGCAAUGGCAUAAGCGUGCUUAACUGCGAGACUGACAAGUCGAGCAGAUGCGAAAGCAGGACAUAGUGAUCCGGUGGUUCUGUAUGGAAGGGCCAUCGCUCAACGGAUAAAAGGUACUCUGGGGAUAACAGGCUGAUACCGCCCAAGAGUUCAUAUCGACGGCGGUGUUUGGCACCUCGAUGUCGGCUCAUCUCAUCCUGGGGCUGUAGCCGGUCCCAAGGGUAUGGCUGUUCGCCAUUUAAAGAGGUACGUGAGCUGGGUUUAAAACGUCGUGAGACAGUUUGGUCCCUAUCUUCCGUGGGCGCUGCAGAUUUGAGGAAGCCUGCUCCUAGUACGAGAGGACCGGAGUGGACGCACCUCUGGUGUAUCGGUUGUCACGCCAGUGGCAUUGCCGAGUAGCUAUGUGCGGAAGAGAUAACCGCUGAAAGCAUCUAAGCGGGAAACUCGUUUCAAGAUGAGAUCUGCCGGGGCCUUGAGCCCCCUGAAGAGUCGUUCAAGACCAGGACGUUGAUAGGUCGGGUGUGGAAGCGCAGUAAUGCGUUAAGCUAACCGAUACUAAUUGCUCGUGCGGCUUGAUC